This is a regulatory RNA element of Firmicutes bacterium CAG:102, 100 nucleotides long. It matches the Rfam family "TPP riboswitch aptamer (THI element)". Rfam says of the family: Vitamin B(1) in its active form thiamin pyrophosphate (TPP) is an essential coenzyme that is synthesised by coupling of pyrimidine and thiazole moieties in bacteria. The previously detected thiamin-regulatory element, thi box was extended, resulting in a new, highly conserved RNA secondary structure, the THI element, which is widely distributed in eubacteria and also occurs in some archaea. Analysis of operon structures identified a large number of new candidate thiamin-regulated genes, mostly transporters, in various prokaryotic organisms. Lineage: Bacteria; Bacillati; Bacillota. The record is from Rfam.
GCAAAAAGCUGGGGGUGCUGAUGCAGCUGAGAGGAUGAAAUGCCAACCCUUUGAACUUGAUGUGGUUAAUGCCAACGGAGGGAAGCGAAACAAGGAAAGC